ACUCCUACGGGAGGCAGCAGUGGGGAAUAUUGCACAAUGGGCGCAAGCCUGAUGCAGCCAUGCCGCGUGUAUGAAGAAGGCCUUCGGGUUGUAAAGUACUUUCAGCAGUGAGGAAGGUGGGUAUGUUAAUAGCAUACUCAUUUGUACGUUAGCUGCAGAAGAAGCACCGGCUAACUCCGUGCCAGCAGCCGCGGUAAUACGGAGGGUGCGAGCGUUAAUCGGAAUUACUGGGCGUAAAGCGCAUGCAGGUGGUUUGUUAAGUCAGAUGUGAAAGCCCGGGGCUCAACCUCGGAAUUGCAUUUGAAACUGGCAAACUAGAGUACUGUAGAGGGGGGUAGAAUUUCAGGUGUAGCGGUGAAAUGCGUAGAGAUCUGAAGGAAUACCGGUGGCGAAGGCGGCCCCCUGGACAGAUACUGACACUCAGAUGCGAAAGCGUGGGGAGCAAACAGGAUUAGAUACCCUGGUAGGCUUAGG
Molecule: ribosomal RNA, 474 nt
Filed under: uncultured bacterium
Lineage: Bacteria
Description: bacterial SSU rRNA
Rfam family: Bacterial small subunit ribosomal RNA
Source: RNAcentral